Molecule: long non-coding RNA, 420 nt
Filed under: Macaca fascicularis (crab-eating macaque)
Lineage: Eukaryota; Metazoa; Chordata; Mammalia; Primates; Cercopithecidae
Description: lncRNA (ENSMFAG00000056817.1)
Source: RNAcentral
AUGCUGUGGUAUGCCCAGCAUGGCCACGGGCCCAAGCCAGAACAUGACAAAACCAAGUCUUCUCCUCCUUUCUUAUGUUUAUUUUUAAGCCUGUCAAGGACUGAAGGAGGCCCUUGUUCAGCAGAAGAGAGGAAGAGAUCGCAGACCCCUCAGGAUGGCGUAUAUAAUCACACACAUGUUCUAGAUCUUGGGUGGGCUUCCUGCGUCAGCAACCCCCCUAACCCUCAGAUGGCACCGCUGUGUGAACUCCAACUGUGCGAAUGUGUCCUGCACCUCCAGGCCUCUGGGCCUGCGUUCCCAUCUCCCCUCUGCUUGGAAAGAGCCCCUCUUCUUGGGUCUGUGAUUCCUCACCUGGAAGGGAGAAGAGCAGACUUCCUGCCUGGAGAACACCUUGGUAAACUGCUCUUUAUCCUGUCAUGA